UAAUGUGGAAUAUAGCAUAAUUAAGUGUAAAGUUUUGCACUGUGUCAUUUUUUUAAAGUGCCACAGUAUAGGUUAUAGAAGACGGAGAGAUUUAUAGUUUCUAGCAAGUUUAUUGAAAGUCCAGAGAAGGAUAGUACCAGAGAAGCAACAUAGUGUUAGAUGGCAUUGAGAGAAGUGUAGUAUUAAGAACAUGGGAGAUAGUUAGUUCUGCUGUACUGGUACUACACAUUUUAAGAGGGUGUGGCAUUUUAUGAGGGGCAUUGGUAAACUGAAGAGUAAUCAAGGUGGUAAAUUAACGUAGAUGUGAAGUCCUGUCUGUAGAACAGUAGACAGAAAUGGGAAUAUUUAACCUGGAGAGGAAUUCGGGAUUGAGGAGGGAAACACAACAAUUUUUUGCACAUAGAGAAUUUGUAGUGCAGUUAAGGUACGGAUUUUUCCAGUUAGAUCUAGACGUUAGAACUAGUGCCAGUAGAUAGACAUUACUGAAAAACAAGAUUUUGACGCCAUACACCCAUAGCAAGUAUUGGAUCACCUAUACAUCUCCCUGUCCUUUCCCCCUCCCUUCCUUCCAAGGGAAUCUUGAUUCUGUUUAAGUAAUCUCCCCACUCUGCACAACUUUGUCUUUCAAGAGAGGCAGAUCCCAGCUCCAGGGGGGCAAAUCGUGAUCAAUCUCAGCCAAUCAUGACGAACCAUUUUCCUUGCCAGUGAUUGGCCAGAUGUAGUUCUGGCCAGUAAGAUGUGUGCUAGGGGUCUGCAGACGCAGAUAUUCCUCUCUGAUAAAAAGAUUCAGAAGGGAAGAAAUAAUCUUACAGUGGACAUUGUUACGUCUGCAUAUGAAGCCUGGAAUGAUGGGAGCUGUCUUGAAGCCAUAAGAAUUGCUAAAUCAACAUGCUAAUAUAUCCUGAUACUGUUGAUUUUUCCUCAGUUGUGUAGGACCAAAAUGGUUCCCAACAGAGCUGUUCUGAAAUGGAAAAGAUUACUUUCCGAGGAAGCAGUCUUUUUGUCCUUGGAGAUAUUUAAGCAAAAGUUGAAUAAACACUUGAUAGACUUGGGAUUCCAGCACUGGUGAAAGUUUGGACUUACAUGACCUUAGAUCUUUUCUAACUAAAUGAUUCAGGCGUUAUACCAUUCUAAAAACAAAACAAUGAAGCAAUCCACAGUUGAGACAGAAAAAUGCUGGGAUCUGCUUAGCUUCUCCAUUUUGUGCCCUCUUAGUUCUAGGGUCUCUACUUCUUUGAAGGAUGAAUGUGGAGCAUGGUUUCUAAUCAUCUUAGGUAGCCCAUUUUCCUUUCUUUGAAUAUGUUGUCUGCUGCUUUAUAGUUUCCAGGGGGAAGGAGGUAGGACGUAAUUCUAUUUGAGUGUAAAAGACCUUUUCUGCUGUUUAGAUGCACUGAUUUAGGGAGAGAAGUAUCUUCAGAGUAGACGUCAGAAGGUUUGUCUUACUGUAGCAAUUUAAAUCUUAGUCUUUUUCUCUUAGUUUUUUCCUUUUGGAAUAUGUACCCAUUAAUCCAUCUUAUUAGAAGAGGAUGUUGUUAGGGACACAAUGACAUGAAAAUGCUUUGGGAAAUAAUAGUAGUGGUAGGCAUUUAUUAGAAAUGUUUUGUGCUAUUUGAAUUCAUAAGUUGGGAGUGCAUUCUUUAUUAUAUUGAGAUCAAACAAGUAGUUCAUUAUUAAAUCGAUGUGUCUCUGCCCUUUGAAUUCAAGAUGGUAGUGAGAAGCUAAGUAAUCUAAAAAACAAAAAUGAAGUACAAAUGAAUCUCCCUUUAUUCAUUGUGGACAUUAUCAGAAACGUCAGAUUUAAGUCGUUCUCAAUGUUUAAUUGGAGUGUCUUAUUUUAUAUGAGAAAUAAAGGCAAAAAAGCUUUGAAUUUAGGUUUCCUUUCCUAACAUGACCCAAAGGUGGUAUAGAAAGAGAGACUGUCCACAUAGUCUUGUGAAGCUUCUUUUUGAACUUAGUUUUUCUUUUCUCAUAUAAGGCGUAUUUGGCUUAAGCUAUCAGGAAAAUAAGUUAACAUACAUGUGAAAAUAAGUCUUCUCUUAACACGUUACCACAUUUCAGAAGUUGAAAGAUGAACUCAAAAGGGACAAAUUUGUCUUCUGGAAUAGUGACGCAACUGGUAGUUUUGCGAGGUUCCCUUUUUUCCUUCGCAUUUUAGAUUUCUAUUUUAACUCUCCCCAGACCUGUCCCAUCCCAGAAUUCUCCAUCUCCUUGCCUAACAGGAUUUUUUUUUAAAACCAUGCUAACCCUGAGCAGUUGGUCAAUGGGGAAAAUUUGUCUUUGGCCUUUCCUGUCCCUCUUUAUGUUACAUGUUUCACAUAUAAUUUAUAGGGUUCUUCUUACUCUUAGGCAGCCAUAUUGAUCUUUCAUGGGUAGUGAUAGACUCCAGAUCUUUUUCAUUAUGCCCCUUCACCAAAAUGUAUCAAUUCUGUAUGUUUCCUGCCUAGUAAUAAGCUCCCACCUGUUCUGUAGUGAUCAAUCUCAUAUUCAGCCACAGAAUUGUGUUAAUAGAUGUCAAUGUGUUACCUUCUCUCCCCUUUAUUUAAAAAGUAAACAAACAUGGGAAUGCUUGAAGACCUAGUUUGGCCUUGCUAUGCCCUGUUAAGUGUACCCUGGGUGCCAGUGGCCUCUGUGAGUGCUUGCUGUACGUAGAGGUGGGGGAUUCAUUCUGCCUUUCCCCACUUGCAGCUUGGAGCACUAGUAGCUGUCUUGCCUUGGGUCUUCAGCUCAAUACUCAGGGCCAGUUUCAUGGGCAGACAACCUGUGCAAUUGUACAGGGCCCCAUGCUUGGUUUAACCUUUUCCUGUUGCCAUCUUGAAAUUCUUAAUUUUUUUUUUUGCAAAGGCUCUGCAUUUUUGUUAUGCACUAGGCCCUGGAAAUUAUGUAGCUGUCCUAUUGAUAAACUCCAAUUCAGUGUCCACUAUUUUUCCUCCAUUUGCUGCCAGCUUUCGCACAGGGCUUCCUGUGCUGCCUCAGAGCUCGCCAUCUUCUGCUCUCCCCACUUUUUUAACCCACCCCACCACUCCCUGUCAUGUUUUUAACUCUCUUUUCUAACUCCUAACUUAUAUUUAUCUCAGUCAACCCUAAAGUGCUCUUGUACUCACAGGGUUUGUCUUUUAUAAUUGUUUGAUCAGUUUGCUGAUCAAUUUUAGUACUUUCUUGAGCUUUGACAAAGACUUGAUUCGAAUUCUGUUGAGGAACCCCUGUAGUAAGUUUCUUCAGCUUCUGCCUCUGACUUCUAUACUUCAAAAAAGAUACAAAAUAUGUGCUUGUUUCUGGUUAGUUACGUUCUGUGUUUAAUUGAGGUGUAACUGCCUUGGCAUUGAGUUGGUCCCGGAUAUGAGUGUGUUAUUGAUGAUCUCAGGAGUCUAUGAGAUUAGGGUAGAAACUUAGCUGUAGCAGUAUCCAGCUUUGCUAUUUUGCAGAUAGAGUAAAAUAAAUGAGCUACACUUUAGAUAAUAAAAUAGUAUUAAAGUUUUUUUUUUCUUCCUUGAAUGAUUACAAUAUAGAAUAUAGUUUCAGACAUAAAUGUCAGGAAAUUAGAAUCAUUCUGGUAGGGGAGAUAGAAAAUAAAUACGGAAAAAUAGAAUGUAGUGCUAGCACUAAAUUGUGGUAGGAAGAAAACUGCGGGAUGAGGAAGGGGCCCUGGAUUGACUGGGAUGGGAUGGGUGGGAAGGGCUAUUUUAUUUUAGACAGAUUGGCCAUGGUGGCCUCCUGAGGAGUUAGCAUUUGAGUAGGAACCUUACUGAGAUGAAGCAGGAGGGCCAUGACAGUUAUGAAAGAAGAGUGGCCCCAGAGGAGAAAACACAAAUUCAGAUAGUCUUAGGUAGCACGUGUGGAGCAUAGUCCAGGAAGUGCAGUGUAUUUAUUUCCUAAUAAUGUCUGCCAGUAAACAGAAGGGAGAUCUUUUUGUGGGGCAGGGGGGACACAUUGAAUUUCUUCAGGAGAUUCAGUCUCUAAACAUGUAAAAUAUGGAGGAGAUAUAUUUUUUGAUGGUCACGUAUCUUAUCUGUGUACUUGAAUUUUUUUUCCCAAAGAUUUUGUUUUUUUCCUUUUUCUCCCCAAAGCCCCCCGGUACAAAGUUGUAUAUUCUUAUUUGUGAGUCCUUCUAGUUGUGGCAUCUGGGACGCCACCUCAGCAUGGCUUGAUGAGCGGUGCCAUGUCCGCGCCCAGGGUCCGAACCGGUGAAACCCUGGGCCGCUGCAGCAGAACUCGCAAGCUUAACCAUGGCCAAGAGGCCGGGCCCUGUACUUGAAUGUUUAAUUGAUGAGUAUUUCUAUUCUUAGUUCCAGUUUGUGUUGGUGUCGGUGUUGUUGAGGAAACUUCAUCAAGCUUCACACUGUAGCAGAUGGGCUUGAUGGUGGGGCAUGUCUUCAUGCAAUUUGACUGCUUUAGUUGACCAUCCGAUAUGAAACAGAAAAGCAGAUUUCUGGCUUAGAGUAUUUGUCAAAAUAGAAUUCCCUCAUAAAAAAAUCUUUAGUUCACUUUUAAAAGACAAUGACUAGCAUUUUUUCUAGGUUAACUUUACAACAAGAGCCUAAGUUCUGCAAUCAGAAGGUUCUCGGCAACUUAAAGCAAAUUGUCAAGAAAAAUAUUGUAAAUGUUUGUGUGUGGGGCAUAUACUUUUAAAGUUUAAUCACUUAAAUUUUACAGUAUUAGUGGAUUUGUUUAUUUCAUUACUAGAUAAGGAAAAUAAUUGUGUGUUUAUUUUUCCUGCCUAGGUUUUCCCUGGGAAGCUAACAUUGUCAACGCUAAAACUUUUGAAGAUUAUGCCAAGAGGCUAUUUGUUUAUUUGAGGGAACUGCAGGAGUAGAUUGCGGCCGUAUCGGGCGUGUUCCUCUAGGAUGUUAUAGCUGGAUGAUGUUUGAAGAGUUUUCAAAAAAAUUUUAUUUGACUUUUCAGUUCUUACUGAUACUCUUUCAUGCCAUUUUUGUUAUUUGGAAGUAGUUGGUAUCUUUUUUUCCCCUUUGAUGAGAACAACAAAUCUGACAUAACUGUUGAGCUGGGACCUGUCAAGGCGCUCAUUAGGACACUCACAGCUGUUGUAAGGUUAGUCUUCCUUUGGGAGCCUCAAGUAUUCUGUUUUAUUUACAUUUUCAUCUGGGUCCUCUAAGUCCUGCAGUAUUAAUAUUUUCAGUGUUUAGCUAGCUACAUGUCUAAUACUGUAUAAUAUAGUCUACUUAAGCUGGGCUGAUUAGAAGAAAACAUGUAUUUGAAAAUACAGAAAGAAUCAUGAUAGAUUAUUAAGGAUCUUGAAUACUUGCCAACAGAUGAGGACUCCUAGCGAGUCAGUUGUGUUGGAAGGAUUGUAUCAUGUGUAUGAAAGUACUUUGUAAACUAAAUCUUUGUCAAGUGCCAAUUGUCUUAAAAAUAUUUAUCAUCCUUGUGUACUGUUGGUAGGAAUGUAAACUAAUACAAACACUAUGGAAAAUAGUGUGUUCGUUCAUCAAAAAAAUGAAAAAUAGAAUUACCAUAUCAUUCAGCACUUCCACUUCUGGGUUUAUUCCUCCCAAAAUUGAAAGCAGAAUCUCAAAGAAAUAUUUGUACAUUCAUGUCCAUAGCACUGUAAUUCAGAACAGCCAAAAGGUGGAAGCAACACAAGUGUCCAUUGAUGGAUAAAUGGAUAAACAAGAUGUGGUAUUUACAUACAAAUGAAUAUUAUUCAGCUUUAAAAAGGAAGGACGCAUUUAAAAACAAACAAGCGCACGAACCUGGAGGAACCUGGAGGACGUUUUGCUAAGUGAAAGAAACCAGACACAAAAGGACAAAUACUGUAUGAUUCCGCUUACAUGAGAUACCUAGAGCAGUCAGAUUCACAGAGACAGAAAGGAGAAUGAUGGCUGCGGGGGGGAGGUGGGGAGGGGAAUUGGCAAUUAUUGUUCAGUGGCUCUGGGGUCUCAGUUUUGUGAGAUGAGGGGAACUCUGGAAAUGGAUGGUGGUGGUGGCGCAACAAUUGUGACUGUACUUAAUACUACUGAUAAUUGUUGAAACUGAGUGAGGGUACAUGAGGGAUCAUUGCACUAGUCUAUUGACUUUGUAUUUAUUUGAAAUUUUCCAUAAUAAAACAUUUUAAAAAGUGAUUACUUGUCAUUCAGUUUAGAAGACUGAUUUUUUCCAUCAGGAGUUUCUAGUGGCUGCUGUAACUCCAAAACGAAUGGGCGUUUCCAGUGAUAGAGACGGUGUGGCUAGUGAGGAGCAGAACAGACUGAAGCUUUCUGUCUGGAGGAAUGAUGUUGCUUUUCACAGAAAGGACAUCGAAAGGGGCGUAACUUUAGAGAGCAAGAGUGUCGUAGGAAGUUAAGCUCUAAGCGAAAGACAUGAGGCCUAAGACUGAAAUGAGGUUGUUUUGAGGCCAUCUGAUUUCUGACUAGAAGGUGUGCGAUCGCCUCGUCCUGAAACCACUUCAAACAGAAUGGUUUGCAAUUUUUUUUGGUGAUGGCAUGUUCAGAAUCUUGGAUCCCUAAGUUGAAUAUAUUGGAAAUAUUUAGGAACCUUGGAAAUUGUUUUUGUAUGCAUAAUGACUUACUAGGUGAAUCAGUAGACUUAAUCAAAAGUAUAUAAAAGAGUAGGUAUAAUAAUUUGUGUUUCUAAGUUGGCAUGCAUGUUUCGAAUUCUCUCCUACCAGUAUUAGUGUCAUAGUCUAGACAGAGUUAUCUUCUGAAGAUUUGGGGUUUUUGUGGUCCUCCUAUGUAAUCCUCCCAUGCCGGUUUGGUCAGCUUGUUUUCCUUUCUAUCUGCCUUGCAGUGUUGCUUACUUAGAUUAGAGGUAAUUAUUCAUCAGGAAGAGAGAAGAGAAAAAAAGUCGUAAAGUGACAAUCCUAAAGGUAGUAAUUACAAAAUUUCAACCUGGAAAUGACCUGAGCAUGGUCUAUGUUAGAAAAUGCAAAUUCGACCAAGUUAUAUACACAUACACUUGUGGCAAAAUGCUGCCAAUUUUCCAAUUAGAUGUUGUUAUGUAGGACAGGGUGCUAAUGAGGAGGAAAAAGAGCUGUUUAGUUUCACAUCCUCCCCCCUCCCUAUUGUUGGGUGAAUGAAUUAGUGGAAAGUAAAAUCGACAAGAGGUAGAUGGUAUGAAUGAAAAGAAGGAACAAAACUUUAAUCUCCAGGAAAGAUUAUUUCCCCUUAAAAAAUUGAAAGUUGGCUAUAUUCCAUGUACCUGAACACGCUAUUCUGAAACCAUAGGCCACUUUCAUGUAGACCUAGAAUGUGAGCUAGGGGAUUCUCGCCCAUAGGAGUGGGUGGAGAACCUGUAUUUCAUAGGAGAGUCACACAGUCCCUGGGCCACUGGGGCGCCAUUAUCAGUGGUUGUCAUUUUCUCUGGCCUGUUCCUGCUGGGAUUAGGAAACUGGAACGUUCUGGGGCAGAUUGUUAUUUUGAUGGUCAAAUAUGACUGCCUCCCUACUCUUUUGACCAAAAUUGGGGAAAGACUGAUUUUUAAGACCAUAUUCAGAGCAACUUGAAAAAGAAUCAAAGGGAAAGGAUGAGGAGAAUUCAGGAAACUAGAGAGACUGAAUGUAGCUUGGUAGAAUGUUAAUGUAUUCGUUUAUUCUAAGGUUUAUUAUUGGUAGAUUAUCCAGUAAUACCGAAAUUGGUGUAUAAUAGAAAUUUUCAUAACAUUUCUAUUAGAAGGCUUUUAAAAGCUAAAUAGGCUAUAUUGUAACUGCCCCCCCCCCCAAUCUUCUUACUUUGCUUUGUUUGAAGAGGAAUAGGCUGAUAUAUAUUUAAUAGGUGGCACAUUUAAAACAUUAGAUAGGUUUUUAAAAAUCAAGUUAUAUCAAUGUAAAUCUGUUGCCUAUUUAGCUGCUUUUCUAUUACACCUGGCUUUUUAAAAGCUGUUUUUGUGAUACUUUUGUCAAUAGAGGUGUUUCCUCUUAGCCAGUUCUAGCCACGAUGUUGACUGGACCUCAGCAUGUGAUAUACCCAGAAGGAUUUAGACAGGCAGGAAAAAACUUGGUUCCUACUAGAAUGAAUAUUUUAAAGACCUUCUUAGAUUCUUAACACUUUGAGUACAAAUGAAAGAGACCCAAGAGAGGGAAAGAUUUAAGAGCCUAAGAAUAAAAAGCGGUGGGGAGGGUCGGGGGUGAUCUCUUAUAUAGCUAACCUGAGGGCACUGAGGGUUGUGAGGAGGCGUGUGGAAGUGACAGUGGGCAUUCUCAUGUUAAUUUAGGCAUUCACUCUAGCCUGCUCUAGUAGUUUAAGGAUAGUGGCAGGUGAUCUUGGGAAAUAUUAAUGCAUUUCCUAACAAUGAAUUUGAUUUUAUUUUGGUAUGCUGUAAAUGGAUAUGUGGCUCAAAGAUGAACUUAAUUCAAAAUACUUAUCUUAGAUACUAGGAAAAAUAUUAUAAAAAUGGGUUUUUUGUCCCUGUUACAUAGCUUUAGAAAAUAACAUACAAGACUGAGCAUAGCAGGGAAUUGAUGGCAUGAAUGUAAUCAGUAUUUUAUGGUUGCUUUCUAAAAACUUUUAAAUAAAACCUUGAAUUUGUUUGCCAUUGGGCUCAGUGGUACCAUAGCAGCAUUUUAGUGUUUAUCUCAUGGAAAAUCUGUACCUUCUUGGGUCACUGCACUUCAUAGUCUGGCACAUCACUGUGAGAAUGCAGAAAUCUGACUCAGUUUACUCAGGGAUGAACAGAUCUUUCUAAGUUUGGGUACAAUAAGUGCAUAGGGACACACAGAGAACGCCUAGGAUAAUGGCUCUUUGCAUCUUGGAAGUUUUAACCCCAUUUUGAAAAUCUGAAGAAAGCUAUAGCUCCUUUCCCCGACAAGACUGUGGUUUCUUAGGGAGGGGGACUGCCCUUGAUCAUCAGCACAGGAAGCCCUGAUCGAAAAGAUCAUCUUCAUUUUACUUCUGACCUUGCUCUGACUUUGUUGUCGCUCUCUGUCAGGUUCUCUCUCGCCUCUGAAAGGAGCGUCAAAUCUCGAAGGACGCUUACUGCUUUACACAUUGAACUGAAGCUCCUGUCCCGAGCUUUGUCAUGUAAUGGAGCAGAAAUCCUCUGCACAGGGCCCUCAGCGUCCAGGUGCUGAGAACAGAGCCCGAGACGUUGAGGGGUGGCACUGCCCUCCUCGUAAGACCUGCGCCUGCUGGUUUAGGGGUGUUUGUUUCAUAGUCAAGUUGAAUGUUAAUGUUUUCUUUUUAAAAAUGAGCAUAUUUCUUCUACAUUUUUUAUUAUUAUAAAUUUUUUUUUUACCUAACUGUGACUUUUUCUCAUGUCUUAAGAUAUCAAAUUCAUGGUGUAAAAUGUGUACUUUAGAUUAACAUAGUGACUGGAAAUUUAGGAUUCUGUUAUUUUUUGACUCUGAAAUUUGUAGCACGUUUUCAAGAAGAUUGUUCAGAUUCCCAGAUAAUUGGUUCUUUAUUCCUUUCAAGUUUCCUAAAUGUAUAAUUACUUCAGAAUUUUAUUAAUCCAUUUAUAAGUUUAGAGAAAGCUGUCUUCAGUUUAUAUUUUGACACAGAAUGGAUGUGUUUGAUUUAUCUUAUUCGGAAUAUGUUUUGACAAAAGUUUGCUUUCAAGUAGCUCUCAUCUUCGUUUUGGAAUCUCAGAUCACCUGCUUGUAAUCACUCAUUGGGACUUUUCUGCAAAAUACAGCUUCACUGAGAAGGUCGUCCUUGGAAAAUCAAGAAUUGGGACUGAGUGGAGAGAUGGAAGAGCGUCAUCAGAUUGAGCCCAGCACGUUCUGGAAACGUUAGACUGCAUUGCCUUUGUACAUGGACCAUAAUGUGACUGUCUUUUGUGAAUUGGACCUAUAGACAGAUAAAAUAACCUCGUAAAAUGUACCUUUACUGUAAGAAGAACACCACUCCAGUCUCUAGACCAUUCUGUCAGUACAGUGUGCUCCUGAUUACUCCCCUGCUGAAGGGGAGCCUGGGUCACUGAACUUGACUGAGAAGUAGACGUCGUGUGUUCUGGAUUUGAAGGUGAUUUUGUAUUUCCUUUUGGAAUGUGGUGUCUCGAUCUUUCCAACAUGAGCCUCACAAUUUCAUGCCCUGAGAGAGGAGCCCAAGUACCUCUGCGCUGACACUCGUUCUCUGUCCUUCUUUUUUCCUGUACUGUUGACUUCAAUGUGGGGAAAACAUCAAGCAUAUAGGAUUCCAGAAUUGGUCAGAAUCCUAUGAAAUCUAUCCCGCUUACCCUUCCAGGUAAUUUUAUUGCAUGUCCUUCCCGGCUCAUGUAAAUGAUGCCAAGUUUGGGGCCCUUUCUUAGGUCAGGAUAGAGUUACAGCCGCACUGUUCAGGCCUCUUCCUCCCAUUGUCACGUUUGGUCUUGCCUGCAGUGGGAGGUUUUCAGUCACCUUACUGUGAAAGAGUCCACUCGUGUCCUUUCGUUUCCAUCUGCCUUCCUGCAUGUUCUGGUGGGGAAAUAGAAUAGAUCUACACUUCGGGCUCUUAGCUGUCUAAGGGUUGCCUGUAAAAAUUCACAGCAUUGUAUUUACAACACAGCUUUUUAGCUGUGGUGUUGACAGUAGUCCCCAGUGGACAUCUGCUCUGUGCUGGGCGCCUUACCAGGUGUGGUUGUCCACUCUUCCUCUCCCCUGCUCCAUUCUCUGGAGGCCAGGAGUGAACUUCAUCAUGCCUCAGGCAUCAGAAGAACCAGAAGUCACUUCCUGUAAGCUUGCUGGUUCCUGGGGUCCUGAGUUAACGAGGUAGUAAGAGAUCCAUGUGUUCCCGCCUGGAUGCUGGUAAAAACAGAUCAUGUGCAGAGAGGCCCGUGGGGGCUGGGGCGAAACAGGUGAAGGGGAUGAAGAGUUACAAACUGACAAUUAUAAAAUAAAUAUGCCAUGGAGAUGUAAUAUGCAGCAUAGGGAGUAUAGUCAAUAAUAUAGCCACUUUAUAGGGGGACAGAUGGUAACUAGACUUAUUGUGGUGAUCAUUUCAUCAUAUAAAUAUCGAAUCACUAUGUUGUACACCUGAAACUAACGUAAUGUUGUAUAUCAAUAAUACUUCAAUAAAAAAAAAUCGUGCAGAAAAAGUGAUCAUGUCAAUAUGAUUUUUAAUGUAAGAUUUGUCAAAAAAAAAAAAAAGGCCAAAUUUUAGGUUAACCUACGUGAACCCACAUUGAAUUUCCAGGUAUCUCUUACCUAAAAAAAAAAAAUCGACCUCGUCCUUAAAAAACAUUACCUAAUUUGGUAAUGUCAGGGUCAUUUCCCUGACAUUUUCAAAAUGUGAUAUUACUCUAAAAAUUUUUUACACUUAGUUUUCAGAAACACGUGCAAAUAUGUUUUGUGUAAAAGAGUAUCUACUGUAUAUAAUAAUUUUCUGACUCUUGCUCUAAUAAAUAUUAAACUUAAGUGGUCUCAUUAUUUAAAACCUAAUAGUUAAAUUUUUUGAGUAAAAUUUUACAGCAUAUCCUAUCGUUACUUUUCAUGUAAUGUACAGAUGCUCGUAGAGCUGCCUGUGUGGGUUUGUUUUCCACAUAUAAAAAUAUUGUAAACAGAGUCCACGUCUUCAGUAAGAGUUUCUGGACCUUUGGCUGUAAUUACCAAGUGUUUGGGAUUGAGCUGGCUGGAAAUGCAAAUUGAGCUUUUCUGUGCGUGUAGCAAACUUUGUGCAAAUAAAGUAGCUUUGUACUCUGAA
Equus caballus (horse) is the source of this 11567-nucleotide non-coding RNA. The record is from RefSeq and is a predicted model, not a curated record. Lineage: Eukaryota; Metazoa; Chordata; Mammalia; Perissodactyla; Equidae.